ACUCUAAACAAUGGAUGUCUUGGCUCCUCACACGAUGAAGAACGUUGCAUAAUGUGAUAAGUAACUGGAGUUGCAAACAUUGUGACAAGUUAAUCUUUGAAUGCAAAUUGCGCGGCUUAUCUUCGGAUAAGCGCAUAUCUACACUAGUGCCCUU
Molecule: ribosomal RNA, 154 nt
Filed under: Trichomitopsis parvus
Lineage: Eukaryota; Parabasalia; Trichomonadida; Trichomonadidae
Description: 5.8S ribosomal RNA
Rfam family: 5.8S ribosomal RNA
About the family: 5.8S ribosomal RNA (5.8S rRNA) is a component of the large subunit of the eukaryotic ribosome. It is transcribed by RNA polymerase I as part of the 45S precursor that also contains 18S and 28S rRNA.
Source: RNAcentral